GCAUGUUCACAUGAUUAAAGGUAUUCCGGUAGACGAUGGGGAUGCGUUCCAUUAGAUAGUAGGCGGGGUAACGGCCCACCUAGUCUUCGAUGGAUAGGGGUUCUGAGAGGAAGGUCCCCCACAUUGGAACUGAGACACGGUCCAAACUCCUACGGGAGGCAGCAGUGAGGAAUAUUGGUCAAUGGGCGAGAGCCUGAACCAGCCAAGUAGCGUGAAGGAUGACUGCCCUAUGGGUUGUAAACUUCUUUUAUAAAGGAAUAAAGUCGGGUAUGCAUACCCGUUUGUAUGUACUUUAUGAAUAAGGAUCGGCUAACUCCGUGCCAGCAGCCGCGGUAAUACGGAGGAUCCGAGCGUUAUCCGGAUUUAUUGGGUUUAAAGGGAGCGUAGAUGGAUGUUUAAGUCAGUUGUGAAAGUUUGCGGCUCAACCGUAAAAUUGCAGUUGAUACUGGAUAUCUUGAGUGCAGUUGAGGCAGGCGGAAUUCGUGGUGUAGCGGUGAAGUGCUUAGAUAUCACGAAGAACUCCGAUUGCGAAGGCAGCCUGCUAAGCUGCAACUGACAUUGAGGCUCGAAAGUGUGGGUAUCAAACAGGAUUAGAUACCCUGGUAGUCCACACGGUAAACGAUGAAUACUCGCUGUUUGCGAUAUACAGCAAGCGGCC
This 658-nucleotide ribosomal RNA is filed under the name uncultured bacterium. RNAcentral's name for it is "bacterial SSU rRNA". It matches the Rfam family "Bacterial small subunit ribosomal RNA", at positions 187 to 848 of the family's 1533-position model. The record is from RNAcentral.